GGGGGAAAAUUUCCCGGUCUGUUAUGCAAGCAAAAAAUUGUUAGCCAGGGAACAAGCAUACUCCGUGAUCGAGCGGGAAUGUCUCGCUCUAGUUUGGGCGGUGAAAAAGUUCUAUGUGUACUUAUUUGGAACACAGUUUAUUCUAGAAACUGAUCACCAUCCACUGGCCUACCUUGCAAAGGCAAAAUUGAAUAACGACAGAGUGAUGAGAUGGGCACUUGCCCUACAGCCAUACAAGUAUAUGGUCAGAGUUGUCAAGGGUUCAGAGAACCAUGGAGCUGAUUUCUUAAGUAGAUGUCAAAUAGAGGAGUAAUUAAUUCUAAGGAUAUGUAAUAUUGAAUUUGAUUUGGUGACAGUUAUAGAAAGAUCCAUUAAAACGUAUCUUCUUAGCAUGGGGAAGUGUCACAAACGUCAAUAUAUUUGAGAAAUUAAUUAUUUUGUGGGAUCUAUUUGAUUAUGAUUGUGAUUGUAUAAGUUUGGUCCUUAUAAUUGGAUAAGAGUCCUUGUUAUUGUUGUAUAAGAUUAUUGUUUAUGAUUAUAUGAAAUUUGGUGAAGAAGUGUUAAAAUCAUGGUCGUUUAAUACAUGUAAUGAAACUCACUUUAAACUACAAAUUUAAUGGUUGAUUUGACACUAGUUGCCACUUUAAACCAUGUGCAUUCGCGUGUUGAGAUAUCUUUUGUCAACUACCACACAGGGAAAGGUUUACUUGCUUGGGUGUAAUACAAAGAGCUCUGUUCCUUAUUUGGUUUAAACAUGCAAAUUGCUCAGGUGAACCCCACAUUUGUAGAAUGUCAUUUGAAGAAUGGUUUAAGAAUUUUAGAGCUGCAAUGCUGUUGGUCUGUUAGGAUCGGGUGGUUAAUCCCAACAAAUAUGUUUGGAGUGGUAUAAAAUGAAAUGUUUGGAGUGAUGCGUCACUUAGUAGCUUACUCACCGGCUCGAGGACACGGGGGUAUUGAGGCCCUUGUUUUGCUCUCCAGUUUGGGGAAGGCCGACGGAUAGGCGCUCAAAUUUGUGUAUUGCCGGCCUGAUGCCGAUGAAUUUUGAAGACGCCCGUUUGGCAAUGGGUUUGCCGAGUUCGGGGGGCUACUAAGUCACUUACCUCAAAAGCCAGAUUUAUUCUGGUUUUUUUGGUUGGAACGGGGACACGCUUUUUCACCUGAAUGUUCCAUCGAUGAGCUACCGGGAGCGCCGCGCCGACGACCAGAAUCCUGUGGACUGGACGUCACCCACUGGAGGCCGUCGACACCCGUAACCCGAUGUCUCUGUUCGUGUCCGUGCCGGUAUUCUUAUGUUGGUGGUGGGGAUUUAUAUUGUAAUUAAAUGUCAAUUGUAAAUAUUGUAAUUUAUUUUGAUUAAGUUAGUUGGUUGUAUUAAAUUUCUUUAUUUCCAUACAAUUG
Molecule: long non-coding RNA, 1398 nt
Organism: Patiria miniata (bat star)
Lineage: Eukaryota; Metazoa; Echinodermata; Asteroidea; Valvatida; Asterinidae
Exons: 2
Source: RefSeq, a predicted model, not a curated record